GGAGAGAUGGCCGAGUGGUUCAAGGCGUAGCAUUGGAACUGCUAUGUAGACUUUUGUUUACCGAGGGUUCGAAUCCCUCUCUCUCCGUUUCCUUUUCAUUCAUCAACGUUACCGACUACAAUGUAUGAAAUUUACCGAGGGUUCGAAUCCCUCUCUCUCCG
This 161-nucleotide transfer RNA is filed under the name Dendrobium nobile. RNAcentral describes it as "tRNA-Ser". The stretch from base 1 to 87 matches the Rfam family "tRNA". Rfam says of the family: Transfer RNA (tRNA) molecules are approximately 80 nucleotides in length. Their secondary structure includes four short double-helical elements and three loops (D, anti-codon, and T loops). The record is from RNAcentral. Lineage: Eukaryota; Viridiplantae; Streptophyta; Magnoliopsida; Asparagales; Orchidaceae.